UAAUAGCCCUGAUGGGAGCGGCAUCCCUUUUGGGUUAAAGAGAGUUGCUAUCCCAGCAAUGUUUCCCAAAAGGAUAAAGCGCACAGCAGGAGGAAAC
Molecule: small RNA, 97 nt
Filed under: Pedobacter zeae
Lineage: Bacteria; Pseudomonadati; Bacteroidota; Sphingobacteriia; Sphingobacteriales; Sphingobacteriaceae
Description: Flavo-1 RNA
Rfam family: Flavo-1 RNA
Source: RNAcentral